UGGGAAAUAGUAAAACGAGAGAAAAAAUUCCUACAGAAAAAAUUCCCCAGAAGGCUGGUUGCCCACGUGGGUGUUGGGCAUUGUGCACACAACACGCACAUCCACUCCACGUGCACGGCACAGGGUCAGAACCUUUGCAUGCAUCCUGACGCAUGUAGGUGGGCCGUCUGCGCAUCACCUCGCACACAAAUAGGCACCGCACAUUGUGCGCGCACCGUCCGCAAAUUAGGCCUAUGCAGAUAGGCCCUGUGCUCCUGUGGCCUGCGUACAAUAGGCCUGUGCUCGCGGUGCUAAAUGCACCAAGGCCCUGUAUGCGCGGCAGGAAACCUAUGCGCCCGUAGGCUAGCUUGCAGUGUGUCGGUCGGAGCGUUGCUACCUCGAGCAGUGCACCACCGCUGCCUUAGGUGAUGCAUCACCGCCACUGGUAGAGGAGGCCUUCCUCCCUCGCUUUUCAUGCCAAACAUCUUUUUCUCCUCUCUC
This 480-nucleotide long non-coding RNA is filed under the name Carica papaya (papaya). Its description in RNAcentral is "long non-coding RNA (CPAP_LNC016369)". Lineage: Eukaryota; Viridiplantae; Streptophyta; Magnoliopsida; Brassicales; Caricaceae. The record is from RNAcentral.